This 3527-nucleotide unclassified non-coding RNA is filed under the name Leishmania donovani. RNAcentral describes it as "gene:LdHU3.31.0520(CDS-product:calpain-like_cyste ine_peptidase_putative)". The record is from RNAcentral. Lineage: Eukaryota; Euglenozoa; Kinetoplastea; Trypanosomatida; Trypanosomatidae.
ACAUGAAUACGCCCUUUUGAUGUUGCGCCUUGCUAGCUUCGCACAGAAGCGAAAGACGAUAGAUACUGAGGCAUACUGUCUCCCUUCACACGCAGAGACGCGCUGCAGGAGGGGGGUGGCGCGCCUCCGCGUUGCCGUGUCUUCCUUUUACCGCCACCACACACAAAACGAUGGUGUUUCCUCAUCAUAUGUUUCAGCUGGACGACGUGUCUGUCGCCUCUCUGAGGGCUGCCGUCGCGGGGAAUUCAAGGAAGCUGGAGCGACUGGAAGCACGUCUGUCACGCAGCCGUGAGCAGGCUGCGCGUCGCUCAGCUCUAGAGAAACGGAUCGCGAUGCUCCACGCAGGAAUCGCGGUGCUGCGGGAGGUGGCGUGGCCAGGGGCCUCACUAUCUCUGUCGGAGAAGGCGAUGGCGCCAUCAGAUCCCAGCUUUCCGGCCUUCUCAUUCACGUCUCCGGCGCGCACAGUCUUGCGCCACACGUCGUCUGGGAUAUCGGGUGCGUGGCCGCGGAGCAACUCCCCGGCAGUCAGCAUGUCGUCGGCCCAGGACGAGUUCGACGAGACCACUCUCCACCCCGAUUCUCUACCGGUGCCUGCGACAUGGAGGCAGAAGACCUCGGUCUUCCGGUACUGCGGACCUUCUGUGGCGGGCACAGUCUCCUCCGUGAUUGAUGAGGGGGUGGCGUACCGCAUCAUGACGGAUGGGGGCGGCUGGGCCUUCUACAACGACACUCGAUACUACACGGUGCACGUGAGAUACCGCAUUGCGGCCGGGUCGACGGUGACGCCAGGACACUCCGUAACGGCAGACGGCAAAGGGGCGCAGCAGGAGCUGUCGAUGGAACUGGGGCCGGAGGAGACCAAGGUGCUGCUCACGGGCCGCGUGGUGGGCUUUGAGAACCUCUGCAAGGCGACGCUGCUUCCGAGGCGUCCAGCGACGACCCAAGAGGAUCAGGCACUGUGCGCAGAGCCGCAGCAGCACUGGAGCGUUCUCGCCACCUCGUGCCCGGAUGUCGCGUUGCCGGACCGCCGUAGCGUGUCGACGACGCACCUCGUCGCCCGAUGCGUGGCGAAGCAGAUUCGGUAUGUCGACCUGCAUUUCUUCCCCAGCCACGCCUCCCUCUACCGCGACGGCCAGGACAGCUUUUAUAUACCUCCUCUGCACUGGCGCCUGCCUGCGAGCUACCUCCCCGGGGACGACGGCGUCCGUCGCGAGGUGCGUCUCUUUCGCGGCCCCAUCCUUCACCCCGACGGUUUGCGCUCUGGGCACCUGCUCCCCAACCACCUGCUGCUCUCUGUCGCAAUCGGGCUUACGUGCCUCUGGCCGCAGGCGCUGCGCCGCCUCUUCAUUCACCCGCAGGGGGCACAGGAGGGCAAGCGCGACCGGGCUGUCGGGGCCUAUCACGUGAGGCUGUGCACAGGGGGCUGGUGGCGGCUCUGUGUCUUGGACGAGUUCCUUCCUGCGUCUGCACAGUGCCCCGAGUUCAGCCACUGUGCUGACGACCUGCAGGUGCUGUGGCUGCCUUUGCUGGAGAAGGCGUGCGCAAAGUCGCUCGGCUCCUACGCUGCAAUGCUGGAGGUGCCGCUGGAAUACUUCGUCCGCGCGUUCACCGGAGGGCCUUGCGAAGUGCUGCGCGAGAUCUGGCCAGCACACGAGGACUUGCGCGACUCUACCGUCAAGGCAGCUCGUUUCUUCGCGCUCAUGAAGAGGCUGCUGCGGCAACGACCGACGGACAUGCCGAGCUUGGUGUGUUGGCUGCAACCCUACUUUCGCGGCACCGCCCGCACACAGGAGAUAGGCGAUCGGCUGGUGGUGCUGUACGAGGAUAUCGGACUCGACCCUAAUGUCGCCACCGUGGUGCUAGGGCUUGAGACGCUCGGCGAUGGGCAGUGCGUCGCGCGUCUGCGUCAGACGGCCGAGAAGAAGAGGUCGGCGGAGUGGUGGCUUGACCUUUGGCGCCGCGCCGGAAAGUCGUGGGUGGACGAGGUGAGCGAUCUCGUGUUCGCCAUGGAGGAGACGGCGGGGGGCACGUUGUGGAUGGCGCUGGAGGACUUACCGCUGUACUUCCAAGGCGGUUGUGUGGCACCACUGACGAGCGACUGGGGUACGGUGAAGGUGCAGGGUGAGUUUACGCAGCGCCAGCCGUCUGUGGUGCUGGAGGUGACAGUGACAGCACCGACGUGCUUCUUGGCGAGCGUUACGCAGAGGGACUUCGAUGAUGCUGGUUUGCCGACGCAAGCAGUGAAGGUUGGCAGUACCUCAAUCGGUGCAAGCCAAACAUUAGCGGGGCUGAGCUGCCUGCUGUACUCCAAGGGAAGCGGCGGCAGCACUCACUUUUGUGGCAGCAGCGGCGACACCCCUGAUGUUUUUGAGGUUGCCCAAUACCCGCAUUUUGCGUACGAGCGAGAGGUGACUGCCGGGCAUCUGCUAGACCCGCGUCAGGGCCCCUACUAUGUUGCGCCGUUUGUGCACUCCAUUUCCUCGGAUGUGGCGUACACCAUAACAGCCCAACUAAUCGGGGCCGAAUCGGUGUCCUCUGCGACUUCACUGGUAGCUCGUGAGAGCAGCACGGCGACAGUGCGCUUCAUGACGGCGAAACCAGGGACCGCUCUCUUUCAGAAUCUUACUCAGCCGAUCCUCCUUGAGUCCUCGAUGGAGGUGAGCGCGACAGCCAUGCACUACCAAAGUCACUCACCAAGGCAACUGCGCAUGCACUGCGGCUCGGGAGUGGCCGUCGACUUCGUGCUCAGCGGCUGCGAUGUGCCACCGCCAAUAACAGCAGCAGGCACCGAAUGACGGCACGCGUGGGCACGUCGACGAGCAUGCGCAGAGCAAAGACAUUCCUUAGCCCCGAUCAGGUGCUCACGUGUUUCACCUCGUUACGGUCGAUGUAGAGUAAAGAGUCUGUGCCGCUCGCUCGCAAGGAAUGCUGUGUGCGAGCGUCUUGCGUGCUUUCUUUCUUUCCUGGAUAUUGGAUGAUGAUGAUGUAUCGUGUGGCCGUUAUGCGCUCAUGUAUUCCUUUCUAUUGUCGUUAUAUAUAUUUUUUUUUCGCCACCAUCACCACCCCGCUCUCCUCAUCUGCCGUUAUUUGCUUGCUCGCGCAUGCUCUUUGCACGUCACGCGGUACGCGUGUCUCUCGGCCGACGUGGUGUUGUACAACUUCAUUGGCGUGCAGCGCUGUCUUGUGAGUGUCUGUGUAUAUGUGUAUGCGUAUGCAUGUGUGCGUGCGCGUUUUGCUUUGUUGCUGUCUCCUUUCGUCUGCUGUGUCACUGGUCUGCACAAGGACACGACUGCACGAAAAGGGUUCAGACACGCACACACACACACACACACACACACACCUGAUCACGCCCACGCGUAGCUGCGACGUGUAGAGUAGCGGGCAGUGUCUUACCCCCCCCCCCCCGACGGCAAUACAUUACCCGCACCAGAUCGGCUCGUACCAUUCUUACAUGAGGCACGAAGAACGCUUGGGGUUCUCCUGCAUCAUUUCUAAGACCUCCCGCAACAGCCGUGCAGGCAACUAAC